Molecule: ribosomal RNA, 541 nt
Filed under: Paenibacillus typhae
Lineage: Bacteria; Bacillati; Bacillota; Bacilli; Caryophanales; Paenibacillaceae
Description: bacterial SSU rRNA
Rfam family: Bacterial small subunit ribosomal RNA
Source: RNAcentral
AUAAGCUUAGCGGCGGACGGGUGAGUAACACGUAGGCAACCUGCCCCUUAGCCUGGGAUAACUACCGGAAACGGUAGCUAAUACCGGAUAAUCCCUUUCCUCGCCUGAGGGAAGGAUAAAAGGCGGAGCAAUCUGCUGAUAAGGGAUGGGCCUGCGGCGCAUUAGCUAGUUGGUGGGGUAACGGCUCACCAAGGCGACGAUGCGUAGCCGACCUGAGAGGGUGAACGGCCACACUGGGACUGAGACACGGCCCAGACUCCUACGGGAGGCAGCAGUAGGGAAUCUUCCGCAAUGGGCGAAAGCCUGACGGAGCAACGCCGCGUGAGUGAUGAAGGUUUUCGGAUCGUAAAGCUCUGUUGCCAGGGAAGAACGUCCGGUAGAGUAACUGCUGCCGGAGUGACGGUACCUGAGAAGAAAGCCCCGGCUAACUACGUGCCAGCAGCCGCGGUAAUACGUAGGGGGCAAGCGUUGUCCGGAAUUAUUGGGCGUAAAGCGCGCGCAGGCGGCUAUUUAAGUCUGGUGUUUAAACCUUGGGCUCAAC